AGUGAACGCUGGCGGUAGGCCUAACACAUGCAAGUCGAACGGCAGCACAGUAAGAGCUUGCUCUUACGGGUGGCGAGUGGCGGACGGGUGAGGAAUACAUCGGAAUCUACUUUUUCGUGGGGGAUAACGUAGGGAAACUUACGCUAAUACCUCAUACGACCUACGGGUGAAAGCAGGGGAUCUUCGGACCUUGCGCGAUUGAAUGAGCCGAUGUCGGAUUAGCUAGUUGGCGGGGUAAAGGCCCACCAAGGCGACGAUCCGUAGCUGGUCUGAGAGGAUGAUCAGCCACACUGGAACUGAGACACGGUCCAGACUCCUACGGGAGGCAGCAGUGGGGAAUAUUGGACAAUGGGCGCAAGCCUGAUCCAGCAAUACCGCGUGGGUGAAGAAGGCCUUCGGGUUGUAAAGCCCUUUUGUUGGGAAAGAAAAGCAGCAGGUUAAUACCCCGCUGUUCUGACGGUACCCAAAGAAUAAGCACCGGCUAACUUCGUG
RNAcentral lists this ribosomal RNA (492 nucleotides) under uncultured bacterium. Its description in RNAcentral is "partial 16S ribosomal RNA". It matches the Rfam family "Bacterial small subunit ribosomal RNA", at positions 29 to 507 of the family's 1533-position model. The record is from RNAcentral.